Molecule: transfer RNA, 74 nt
Filed under: marine sediment metagenome
Description: tRNA-Glu
Rfam family: tRNA
About the family: Transfer RNA (tRNA) molecules are approximately 80 nucleotides in length.
Source: RNAcentral
GGCGCUGUCGUCUAAUGGCCUAGGACACAUGGUUUUCAGCCAUGCUAAUGAGAGUUCGAAUCUCUUCGGCGCUA